RNAcentral lists this long non-coding RNA (569 nucleotides) under Oryza brachyantha (malo sina). Its description in RNAcentral is "long non-coding RNA (OBRA_LNC000879)". The record is from RNAcentral. Lineage: Eukaryota; Viridiplantae; Streptophyta; Magnoliopsida; Poales; Poaceae.
GAACGACGCAGAACAGAGCAAGUUGGUAGAAGAAAUCUGAAACCCACACUGCAUCCAUUCACUUCAUUGCAGAAUUCAGAUAAUAUACUUGUUCAGCGACUGGAGAUCGAAAGUAAGAAGAACUUAGCAACAAUGUUCUCCUCGACCACAUUUCAUGCUGGGCUCACAUCGGCCAUGCCAGUGAUCGAUCAAAAACGGCGGACGCUCUAGAGAGACGACGUGAUCAAGGAGACAUCGGCAUACUACGUACUAGAGCUUACUACUCGAUCUAGGCAAACUGGUACGUGCUAGGUGCUACAGCUUCAAUCAUCGUCUUCCGAAUUCACGUGCAGGUGGGCAAGCCAUAGAACGAAGCAAAGGAACAGAACGAGAAACACUACGAAUGAAUCAUCGCUGAGGGGCGCGGAUGCCGGGGCCGGGGCCGGCGCCGGCCCGUCCUCAGUACUGGGCGGCAGCGAUGAGGAGGGUGGUGGCGAGGACGGUCGUGGCGGCGGCGAGGGGCCCCUGGAGCGAGGCGCCGGACCAUGGUGGUGAGGGGGCAGCGGUCGGGCCGGUGGGCGGGGGCGGCN